UUGAUCUUAUCGGAGAGUAGCGCGCGCCUCAUGCCUCUCUUUCUUGGCUUCCGCUCUGCGUUUUCAGUCACAUUUACCGCUUGAUGUGUCUCGGCACUGAACAUAAACUUGAACUAAAUUACAGGUUACAGCUUCUUGCUCCGUGAACUAUCGAGGAUGGAAGAGUAUUUGCAGUACUCGAAGAUCUUGCGCUUACAAAUGAAUGACGGGGAGGAUCAAGCUUUGAAGAACUCUGUCGAAGAGCAUAUGUACUUUCUUACUACUCAAACCGUGGGGAUUUCACUUCUGGGUAAACUUGAAACGGCUAAGCGAGCCAGUGAAACGGAAGCAUCAGCUGAUACGGUUGGAGGCAGUUCUUGACCAACUAUCCCCCUAUUCUCUACAAUAUGUAUAAUGGUUUUCAUCAAAAUAGUUUUGCUUAUAAGUAGUUUUGCAGUUCAGAUUGAGAAUGGAUGAUCGAGUAAGGCUCAUGAGAUAUAUGCAGUCCUAUGCCACAAAUUCCAUUUUUUCGAGUCAGUACAAUAAAGCAUAUUUUGAUUCUUACAUUGGUAGUUGAUUUCACACUAAAGGAGCAGCACCUUGAACUCUAUACACCUAAAUGUUCCGUUAUGUCAUCCUUGUUCCCACCUUCCGACUUAGCAAGCCUUGUCACUGUCGAACUGACAUUCUCUGCUGCCCAUCUGUAGUCGAUGUGUGAUUCAUAAUCUGUAUCUGCUGCUGUAUCUUGCCAUGGAUAAUACAGCUCACUUCCACUAUUGCACACCAACGUAUCAAAUUCUUGUAAGCCUAGUUGACAGCCUUUCAGAGCCUAUUGAAUGGUGCAGCUAAGGGAACCGUGGAUCCAGGCAUAUUAGGGGAAGGGAGCCAGAUGCCAAAUCCGCCGCACAUGUUCUCUCCACUCUAUUACUGCGUUCACGUUUAUUCCUAGUUGCAAUCACCGUGAUUUAACAGGAAGGAUACAUUUUGACGUUUUUGCAGUGUUCUGCUUAGGAAGUUUCAUCAUUCACCCAAGGGAGUGUAGAAAUCUGGAAGCAAAAGGAUUUUCGUCUCAUCAGGUACAAAUCUCAACUUCCGAUCUUGCAUGAUUAAAUUCCUAUCUGUUCUAGCAAUUAACUGAGAGCAAAUAAAAAGGUUACAUAUACUUCAUCAAAAAGUGGCCAAAAAGAGGCAAGUAAGAGUGGGGGACGAAAAAAAUAUUGGUGCACAAGUUCAUGUUAAUUAAAUUUUAUGGAAAUAAAUAACAAUAUGUAAUUAGAAAACAGAAAUAUUAAGAAUGUAACCUUGUCAAGGUAGUAGUAAUUUGUUGAGAGUGGGAUUUGAACCCACGCCCUUUUGGACUAGAACCUUAAUCUAGCGCCUUAGACCAACUCGGCCAUCUUUAAUUUUUUUGGUAAGCCCGACAGUCCUGUUAGAUUAUAUAUCUUUUAAUAAAAACACAUUUUAUUUAUUUACAUUUAUACUAUCUAUCAUCUAAAAUAACAUAAAAGAUGAUUCCAUAUUGAUUAAAAACUUUUCACUUUUUCUCCAUCUCCACAUCUAAUAAUGUUCCUUGGAGAGAGGGUUCAAGUUAAGCCAUAUGAUUGCCUUUCAUUAUUGGUAUCAUAGAAUUGUGUCAUAUUUCGACAUUUUUUUUUCUUUUUUGCAAAACAUUUCACUUUUCAUUCAUUUUCACAUUUUCAUCUCAUGCCUUUCAAAGAGAGAGUUUAGCUCAAGCUAUAUGAUUGCCUUUAAUUACUCUUUUAAAGUAUCAAAUGUCCAAAAAAUAAUAAUACAUAAAGCCAAAAUAGUCUUCUUGUGCAACACUUUAAUGCAGUCUUUUUAUAAAAUAAAAUUAAAAAUAGUGUUAUAUUGUAUUGUAUUAGAAAUAGGGUAAAAAGAGGGCACUCCCUAUUUGUCUUGUUCCAAAAAGAGAGGUAUUAGGAAGGAAAAGAUAUAGGAAAAGAAAGGUAGGAGUUUAAGAAAUUAUAAGUAAAUUGGCCAGACUAAAUCCGUUAUAUAUAUAUAUAUAUAUAUAUAUAUAUCGUUUAUUAUAGAAAGAGAUUAUAUGUGUGCUAUCUCUCUCUUGUUCAAAUAUUAAAAUUAACUUUCACCAUCU
Molecule: long non-coding RNA, 2095 nt
Organism: Cucurbita moschata (crookneck pumpkin)
Lineage: Eukaryota; Viridiplantae; Streptophyta; Magnoliopsida; Cucurbitales; Cucurbitaceae
Exons: 5
Source: RefSeq, a predicted model, not a curated record